RNAcentral lists this long non-coding RNA (1300 nucleotides) under Homo sapiens (human). RNAcentral describes it as "HSALNT0265056". The record is from RNAcentral. Lineage: Eukaryota; Metazoa; Chordata; Mammalia; Primates; Hominidae.
ACAUCUCCCAUUAGGCCCCACCUCCAACACUUAGGAUCACAUUUCAACAUAAGAUUUAGAGGAGACAAACAUCCAAACCAUAUCACCAGGCAAUCAAGGAGAGAGUGGAGUGAAUAUUUAAAGUGUUAAGAGAAAAAACCUACCAACCUAUAAUUCUGUACCCUGUGAAAUUAUCUUUCGAAAGUGAAGGAGAAAUAAAGUCUUUCUUAGACAAACAAAAAUUGAGGGAAUAUUUUUCCACAGACUUGCCCUGAGAGAAAUAUUAAAAGAAAUUCUUUAGCAAGAAGGAAAAUGAUAAAGGUCAGAAAUGCAGAUCUAUGUGAAGAAGGAAAAAGCAUCAAAGAAGCAAUAUUCAAGGCUAUACAGGAAGUAUGGUGCUGGCAUCUGCUUCUGGUGAGAGCCUCAGGGAGCACAUCAUGGCAGAAGACGAAGAAGGAGCUGGAAUAUCACAUGGCAAGAGAGGAAGAAAUGAAAACUCAGCCUGCUACUGCAGCAGAAGUGAGAGGUGGAGCCAGCGAAUAUGAUGGGAGGCAACAAGAACACUACACAGCUCACCACCACUUCCGCCCAGCCUUGGAAAACUCCCCUUCCUACCACCCAGCAGAUGAGAGCAGCAAUUUGCCAUGGUGAUCUCUGCACAAGUUGGCUCCCUUUCACCUUCUACCAUGAAUGGAAGAAGCCUGAGGCCCUCACCAGAAGUAGAUGCUGGCACCAUGCUUCUUGUACAGCCUGCAGAACUGUGAGCCAAACAAACCUCUUUUAUUUAUAAAGUCCCAAGCCUCAGGUAUCUCUUUCUAGCAACACAAAUGGACUAAGACAGCACUUUAGUUCUAUUGCAACAAGAGAUGGGCAUUGUACCCCAGCUCUCUCAGUUGGGACCCUGCCUAGUUCUUGCCAGCCCCUUUUCCUGAGCUACAUUGAGAGAAUCAAUAAAAACAAUUAAGGACACAGGCCAAGUAGACUUUGACAUUUGGAAAAGCCACAGUCCAACAGCUUCAUGCCACCCAGUACCCCAAAUUCCUCAUAAAGGGGUCCAUUGCCUAUUGUUUCUCCAAUAACGUUUUUCUUUCGGCCAAGAAUUUUUGCCUUCUCGGGAACAUCACACACCGGGGCCUGUUGUUGGGUCGGGGGAGGGGGGAGGGAUAGCAUUAGGAGAUACACCUAAUGUAAAUGACGAGUUAAUGGGUGCAGCACACCAACAUGGCACAUGUAUAAAUAUGUAACAAACCUGCACAUUGUGCACAUGUACCCUAAAACUUAAAGGAUAAUUAAAAAAAAAAAAGGUCAAAAAAAAUUGUUU